RNAcentral lists this long non-coding RNA (400 nucleotides) under Olea europaea subsp. europaea. Lineage: Eukaryota; Viridiplantae; Streptophyta; Magnoliopsida; Lamiales; Oleaceae. The record is from RNAcentral.
CGUCAACCUUCGCUAGACUUGUCGAAAUAUCUACACACCUCAAUAUCAUUGACAUUUGUUCUUCGUGACUUGUAUUUGGAGUGCAAUCAAGUAUAACAGAAAAGUAUUUAGAAAUUUUGAGUUUCUCAAUGAUUUUUUUUAUCUCGCCCGCUAGCAUAAGUAUCAACUCAUUCUGAAUUUUGUGUCCUAGAUAAUGAUAAUGAAUCUCUUUACUUUUUAAUCGACGAACAUGCUCUUGCAUUACGGGGUCGAACUCAGCAAUCAUUUGAAUCAUGCUUAAAAAGAUACCAUUAUUUUCUUGAUAUGUCUUCUCAUUGCCCCCACGAAAUGCUAAAUUAUUCUCAGCAAGAGUUUUCACCACAGAUAUUAUUCCCAAUAAUACUUGUCUCCAAUGUUCUCU